This 63-nucleotide transfer RNA is filed under the name Ischnosoma splendidum. Its description in RNAcentral is "tRNA-Glu". The record is from RNAcentral. Lineage: Eukaryota; Metazoa; Arthropoda; Insecta; Coleoptera; Staphylinidae.
AUUUAUAUAGUUUAAAAAAAACUUUAUAUUUUCAUUAUAACAAUAGAAGAUUUCUUAUAAAUA